AGGUAUGUGCUUUUCAAGUUUCUAUUCUGCAGAGGCUACUGUGUAUGUGAGCCUGGUGGCCUGACCAUCAUUAUAAGCCUUAGAGUGUGUCUUCUACUGGUGAGGAAAAGAGUCGCUCCAGGCAAGAAGACCCAGAGCCAUCAACACUGAAACAAAAGGCAAAGGAGAGGAUGAAAAUGCAGUUGGAGACAGUUCUG
This is a long non-coding RNA of Acinonyx jubatus (cheetah), 197 nucleotides long. RefSeq lists it as uncharacterized. Lineage: Eukaryota; Metazoa; Chordata; Mammalia; Carnivora; Felidae. The record is from RefSeq and is a predicted model, not a curated record. The transcript is spliced from 3 exons.